AACCGCAAAGGGCUCAGUAAACCAGUUUUGAUUUACUUGAGUCUUAACGAUUUGUACGUGGAUACCUGUGGUAAUUCUAGAGCUAAUACAUGCAAUUAUGUCCGGACCAGCAAUGGAAAGGACGCUUUUAUCAGAUCAAAAUCAUUCGCCCGACUCGUUUGGGCGUUUAUUUGGUGAAUCUAGAUAACCACAUGUGAUCGUACAGUCCUAGUACUGGCGACUGCUCUUUCAAACGCCUGACUUAUCAGCUGUCGAUGGUAGACUCUGUGUCUACCAUGGCCUUCACGGGUAACGGGGAAUCAGGGUUCGAUUCCGGAGAGGGAGCCUAAGAAACGGCUACCACAUCCAAGGAAGGCAGCAGGCACGCAAAUUACCCACUCCCGGCACGGGGAGGUAGUGACAAAAAAUAACGAUACGGGACUCUAAUGAGGCCCCGUAAUCGGAAUGAGUACACUUUAAAUCCUUUAACAAGGAUCCAUUGGAGGGCAAGUCUGGUGCCAGCAGCCGCGGUAAUUCCAGCUCCAAUAGCGUAUAUUAAAGUUGUUGCGGUUAAAAAGCUCGUAGUUGGUUCUGCGUGCCGCGCUGUCGGUUCGCCGCCUGUCGGUGUAACUGGCAUGUCGCGGCAUGUCCUGUCGGUGGUGAACGGGAAUCCCGGUGCAACUUGACUUUUUAAAGGCGUAGUCUGUACCGUGCGUAUUGCCGUUAGCCGAUUUCUCCUACUCCGGUGCUCUUAAACGAGUGUCGAGGUAGGCCGACACGUUCACUUUGAACAAAUUAGAGUGCUUAAAGCAGGCUAAAAUCUCUGCCUGAAUAGUGGUGCAUGGAAUGAUAAAAUAGGACCUUGGUUCUAUUUUGUUGGUUUUAGGAACAUAAGGUAAUGAUCAAUGUGGACUGGCGGGGGCAUUCGUAUUGCGACGUUAGAGGUGAAAUUCUUGGAUCGUCGCAGACCAA
RNAcentral lists this ribosomal RNA (951 nucleotides) under Villiersella testacea. RNAcentral describes it as "SSU rRNA". It matches the Rfam family "Eukaryotic small subunit ribosomal RNA", at positions 85 to 938 of the family's 1831-position model. Lineage: Eukaryota; Metazoa; Arthropoda; Insecta; Hemiptera; Reduviidae. The record is from RNAcentral.